GACGAACGCUGGCGGCGUGCUUAACACAUGCAAGUCGAACGGAAAGGCACUGCUUUUGUGGGGUGCUCGAGUGGCGAACGGGUGAGUAACACGUGAGUAACCUGCCCUUGACUUUGGGAUAACUUCAGGAAACUGGGGCUAAUACCGGAUAGGAGCUCCUGCUGCAUGGUGGGGGUUGGAACGUUUCGGCGGUUGGGGAUGGACUCGCGGCUUAUCAGCUUGUUGGUGGGGUAGUGGCUUACCAAGGCUUUGACGGGUAGCCGGCCUGAGAGGGUGAACGGCGACAUGGGGACUGAGGGACGGCGCAGACUCCUACGGGGGGCAGUAGUGGGGAAUAUUGCACAGUGGGCGGGAGCCUGAUGCGGCAGCGCCGCGUGCGUGAUGACGGCCUUCGGGGUGUAAACCGCAUUCGCCUGUGACGAAGCGGUAGUGACGGUAAUGGGUAAAGAAGCACCGGCUAACUACGUG
This 468-nucleotide ribosomal RNA is filed under the name uncultured bacterium. Its description in RNAcentral is "partial 16S ribosomal RNA". It matches the Rfam family "Bacterial small subunit ribosomal RNA", at positions 28 to 507 of the family's 1533-position model. The record is from RNAcentral.